GGAAUUUUGGACAAUGGGCGCAAGCCUGAUCCAGCCAUGCCGCGUGGGUGAAGAAGGCCUUCGGGUUGUAAAGCCCUUUCGGCUGGGACGAAAAGGUCCGCGUUAACACCGCGGAUCCAUGACGGUACCAGCAGACGAAGCACCGGCUAACUACGUGCCAGCAUCCGCGGUAAUACGUAGGGUGCAGGCGUUAAUCGGAAUUACUGGGCGUAAAGCGUGCGCAGGCGGUCUUUUAAGUCAGAUGUGAAAUCCCCGGGCUUAACCUGGGAACUGCGUUUGAAACUGAAAGGCUAGAGUGUGGCAGAGGGGGGUGGAAUUCCACGUGUAGCAGUGAAAUGCGUAGAGAUGUGGAGGAACACCGAUGGCGAAGGCAGCCCCCUGGGCUAACACUGACGCUCAUGCACGAAAGCGUGGGGAGCAAAC
Molecule: ribosomal RNA, 423 nt
Filed under: uncultured bacterium
Lineage: Bacteria
Description: bacterial SSU rRNA
Rfam family: Bacterial small subunit ribosomal RNA
Source: RNAcentral